CCUACGGGAGGCAGCAGUGGGGAAUAUUGGACAAUGGGGGGAACCCUGAUCCAGCGACGCCGCGUGAGUGAAGAAGUAUUUCGGUAUGUAAAGCUCUAUCAGUAGGGAAGAAAGAAAUGACGGUACCUGACUAAGAAGCCUCGGCUAACUACGUGCCAGCAGCCGCGGUAAUCCGUAGGGGGCAAGCGUUAUCCGGAUUUAGUGGGUGUAAAGGGAGCGUAGGCGGCGGUGCAAGGCUGAAGUGAAAGGCGGGGGCCCAACCCGCGGACUGCUUUGGAUACUGUAGGGCUGGAGUGCAGGAGAGGUAAGUGGAAUUCCUGGUGUAGCGGUGAAAUGCGUAGAGAUUAGGAGGAACACCAGUGGCGAAGGCGGCUUACUGGACUGUAACUGACGUUGAGGCUCGAAAGCGUGGGGAGCAAACAGGAUUAGAUACCCGAGUAGUC
RNAcentral lists this ribosomal RNA (443 nucleotides) under uncultured bacterium. RNAcentral's name for it is "partial 16S ribosomal RNA". It matches the Rfam family "Bacterial small subunit ribosomal RNA", at positions 338 to 795 of the family's 1533-position model. The record is from RNAcentral.